Molecule: transfer RNA, 52 nt
Filed under: Megalothorax incertus
Lineage: Eukaryota; Metazoa; Arthropoda; Collembola; Neelipleona; Neelidae
Description: tRNA-Ser
Source: RNAcentral
AAAGAGUUCAUUGGAAGCUGCUAACUUCCUAUAAAGUUUUGCUUACUCUUUC